GACGAACGCUGGCGGCGUGCUUAACACAUGCCAGUCGAACGGAAAGGCCCUGCUUUUGUGGGGUGCUCGAGUGGCGAACGGGUGAGUAACACGUGAGUAACCUGCCCUUGACUUUGGGAUAACUUCAGGUAACUGGGGCUAAUACCGGAUAGGAGCUCCUGCUGCAUGGUGGGGGUUGGAAAGUUUCGGCGGUUGGGGAUGGACUCGCGGCUUAUCAGCUUGUUGGUGGGGUAGUGGCUUACCAAGGCUUUGACGGGUAGCCGGCCUGAGAGGGUGACCGGCCACAUUGGGACUGAGAUACGGCCCAGACUCCUACGGGAGGCAGCAGUGGGGAAUAUUGCACAAUGGGCGGAAGCCUGAUGCAGCAACGCCGCGUGCGGGAUGACGGCCUUCGGGUUGUAAACCGCUUUCGCCUGUGACGAAGCGUGAGUGACGGUAAUGGGUAAAGAAGCACCGGCUAACUACGUG
Molecule: ribosomal RNA, 468 nt
Filed under: uncultured bacterium
Lineage: Bacteria
Description: partial 16S ribosomal RNA
Rfam family: Bacterial small subunit ribosomal RNA
Source: RNAcentral